RNAcentral lists this ribosomal RNA (301 nucleotides) under uncultured bacterium. RNAcentral describes it as "partial 16S ribosomal RNA". It matches the Rfam family "Bacterial small subunit ribosomal RNA", at positions 509 to 807 of the family's 1533-position model. The record is from RNAcentral.
CAGCAGCCGCGGUAAUACGAGGGGGGCAAGCGUUGUUCGGAAUUAUUGGGCGUAAAGGGCGCGUAGGCGGUUUGGCAAGUUUGGUGUGAAAUCUUCGGGCUCAACUCGAAGUCUGCAUCGAAAACUGCCGGGCUUGAGUAUGGGAGAGGUGAGUGGAAUUUCCGGUGUAGCGGUGAAAUGCGUAGAUAUCGGAAGGAACACCUGUGGCGAAAGCGGCUCACUGGACCAUAACUGACGCUGAGGCGCGAAAGCUAGGGGAGCAAACAGGAUUAGAUACCCCCGUAGUCCCUGUCUCUUAUAC